RNAcentral lists this long non-coding RNA (3509 nucleotides) under Eucalyptus grandis. RNAcentral describes it as "long non-coding RNA (EGRA_LNC002537)". Lineage: Eukaryota; Viridiplantae; Streptophyta; Magnoliopsida; Myrtales; Myrtaceae. The record is from RNAcentral.
CUUUCUAAUAAAAAUGUAUGUCCUGAUUCAAUUAAUUUUCUUUUUAGAGAUUCUUGCCUUCAGAGUUUGGAAACGAUGGGGAACGUCACCAUGCUGUGGAGCCAGCAAAAACUGUAUAUGAUACCAAGACCAAGAUCCGCCGCCUUGUUGAGGCUGAGGGAAUCCCUUAUACACAUGUGGUUUCUAACGCUUGUUCAGGUUACCACCUUUCGAAUUUGUCACAGCCUGGGGCUACAGCUCCCCCAAGAGAUAAAGUUGUCAUCUUAGGGGAUGGAAAUGCAAAAGGUAAGAAGCAGUGUGUCGAAAUGCGCAUUUUAAUUAGUUCAGAUAUUUCUGGAGGUUGAUCACGAUUUAAUUACGGUAGUGAUCAGUGUGAGGGGCAGCUCUUGAAGCUUGAGAAUUCCAGGGCAACGUCCUUGUCUGGAGAUGUUGGGACUCUUACAUCCAUUAGUCUUCACCUUCAGAGACUAAUAGAUUAUAUGAGUGUGUCGUGGUUUAUCUUGGCAUAAUAUCACCUAGUGGGCAGAUCGUGAAUGUUCUCUUUAUGUAUUUGGUGGAGGAAAGAACAUACGGAUGCAUCUGUCUGUUGGUUGUCUGAUGAAUCUGUUUACCGAGAGAAUUCUUCUUCAAUUCAAGCCGAAAGUAACACUAGGAAGAUCAGUGACUCUGUGAUUUAUUUAUGAGCUCAUGUCUUUCUGGGAGAGAGAGAUCGGCAAGGCUCUAGAGAGGGCGUAUGUUCCAGAGGAGGAGGUUCUAAAGAAUAUUCAAGGUUAGGGCUGCAUUUCUAUUGGAUUUAAGUGUGUAAAUUGUCUCUGUUCUCUCUAAAGAUUUAAAGCUUGUCCAGUCAUUACAGAGGCGGCGUUUCCGCAGAAUGUGAUAUUGGCAGUACUCCAUUCUGUUUUCGUGAAAGGAGACCAAGCCAACUUCGAGAUUAAGCCAUCAUUCGGAGUGGAAGCUUUGGAGCUCUACCCCAAUGUCAAGUACACGACUGUGGAUUAGUAUAUGGAUCAGUUUAUUUGAUUAUCGAACCCGAUUGUGCUUGUUAAAUUUCUCAUAUCGGCUUAAAUCAUAAAUAAUAUAGGAUGCUGCUUCUUAGGAUCCUAGUGUGAAAUGUCGCAUGCCCUGAUCAUCACAUGGCAUGUACAACCCCAAAGUUCGAGGACAUCCUAUGAAGUGCUUGGAGAAAUUUAUUUAUGUUUUGGAGAUUAAUAUUAGGUUCAUGGCCAAGCCGAGCUAGCACAAAGACAUGGAUUUUUCUAUUUUUCUAUAUUGUAUUUUCUUGCACGUCUAAAUGAUUCAAGACGACCACUAUCGAGAAGUCAGAUACUAGAUGUAUUACCAAAAAUGAAAUCUCCGUCAUGACCUAAUUAUGGAUAAUCUUAAAGAAUGACGAGUUAAAACAAACGUAAAUCGAUUAACGAACUUCUCACAAUAUCGAGUUAUCGUUAAUGUUUUGGGAGCUUUUAUUGUAUGAAUUUUCUUAACGUGAAAUACAUUAAUUGAUAUUGUAAGAAAUUUCUGUUGAUCGGACCCUCCUUGCCUAUAAAUAGGCGGGUUGCGAUCUCUGUUGAGGACGAGCGAGCAAGCUUGGAGAACUUCCCUGGAGAGACUUCAGGGGAGGCUCAAAGAGUAAGCAAGCAAGAGAGGCGUCGCGAGCUCAAACGACCUCCCCCAAGAGAGGUCAGGGGAGGUCGGCGGCGAGCGAACCCGAGAGAGAGGGGCUUCACGGUGAGAGAGAUCGUGAGCAAAACCCAGAUCUGUGGGUUGUGGGUGGAAGGGGGUAGACUGCCGUCGACGGUUGCGCCUGCAUCGUGACCAGCAACCCCACCGCUACGCCUCCUUGGCCGGUGAACUACGGUCUUCUUUUUUUGCGUUCUGGGCAAGCCAGGCCGGAGCUUGCGACCGCUUGGUUGCGAGCUUCGGCCGCGUUUAUUCCCUUUUUUUGGGCUGCUGUUGUGUUUGUUCGGCCAAAGCUACGGUUUAGCUCCAACCUCGUUCGGGCCGUGAGUCUCUCAACUCUAUAGCACACACCAUCCGUUCGACGAAAUGCCAAAGCUAGAUCCGGAACCUUGCGCUGAGGAAGUCCGUUCCAGAGCUUCAAUCACCGUCCGGAUGAGAGAGGAAAGACGUUGGGGAGACCUCCAGUCGAACGCUUUCCGCCGGCCAUGUCUAGCCAAGGCGGAUCUUUGCUGGCGACAAUAGCCAGCCAAGCUGGUUCUCAGCCGGCGACGGUGGUCAGCUGGGCUCGCCCUCGGUUGGCGCCAUGGCCGAUCGAAAGCUCGUCUCCGAUCUGGGCUGGCUGAGGUGUCACCGGACUGAGGGGUGUGGCCAGCCCACCGUGAGCGGCGUCCCCCAUUGGCGCCGUCUUCUUCCCUGCGGACAAGCUGCAGUGAAGGGGGGAUGAAUCGGGUGAGCCUGCGGAUCGGGCUAACGCAGUUCAUUUGAUUCUUCGGGUAGGGUUUCGUCAGCAUGGGCCUAUCGCGGCAGGCCGUCUGAUUUUCAAGCUUCAGUUGGGCCAUCUUUUUACAAAUCAAAAUCUGCUGGGUUGGGCUAAAAAUUAAAAUGUUGGGUUUGAAUUUCUUUGCGGGCCUGGCCCGCGCCUCAGGCUCGUUCCGAGCAGCCCCUGGUUUCUACGAUUGUGUCGUUUUUAUAUUAUUAUAAUUAUAAUAAUAUUUUAAUAAAAUCAAAAUAAAUAAAUUAUUUAUUCAAAGAGUCAGAAAAACCCAAAAAUAUUUUAUGUUUUCCCAAAAAAAUCAUGAACAAGCGAAAAAUAAUUUAUAUUUUCAAAAAAGGGUAAAAAAUAAAAAUAAAAAUGCUUUUAUGUUAAAGUGUGUUUUUCCUCCACAAAUGCAUAGAAAAUCCCUUGAAAUUCCAAAAAGCUUUAGGGUUCAGAUAAGAUUAGGUACCGGAAGGACAGUAGUGAUUAACUAGUGUAAUUAAGUUCCCGAUCUUAGUUUUCCUGGUUGCACAGAAGCGAAUAUUUCUCCCAAUAUUUCGCUUGGGUUUCUAACUCAACCCACCUCAAAUUGAUUAGUGGCGACUCAUUUUAAAAUUAACUUAUAGUUUUAAAAAAUAUUAAACCAUUAAGUCCUGAAUUGGUGAGCUUGGGAGAGCCCAAGCUAAGCCUAAUAGAUAUAGCCGAGCCAUAAGCCUAUGUAGGCACUCGCCCUAAUCGGGCACUGAAAAUAGAGAUUGUGACAAGGAACAUGCCCUAGUUUUUGUUGCUUUCUAAUAAAAAUGUUUCUUCUAAUUCAAAUAAUUUUCUUCUUAGAGAUUCUUGCCUUCAGAGUUUGGAAAUGACGUGGAUCGUGUCCAUGCUAUGGAGCCAGCAAAAAAUGCAUUUGCUAUCAAGGCCAAGAUUUGCCAUCUUAUUGAGGCUGCGAGAAUCCCUUAUACGUAUGUAUCUUCUAACUUGUUUGCAGGUUACUUCCUCCUAACAUUGUCACAACCUGGGGCUACAGCUCCCCCUAGAGAUAAAGUUGUUAUCUUAGGGGAUGGAAAUGUAAAAG